RNAcentral lists this ribosomal RNA (330 nucleotides) under uncultured eukaryote. RNAcentral's name for it is "partial 18S ribosomal RNA". It matches the Rfam family "Eukaryotic small subunit ribosomal RNA", at positions 1470 to 1796 of the family's 1831-position model. The record is from RNAcentral.
CCCUUAGAUGUUCUGGGCCGCACGCGCGCUACACUGACGAAGUCAGCGAGCACCUCCUUCGCCGAAAGGUGCGGGGAAUCUUGUGAAACUUUGUCGUGCUGGGGAUUGAUUUUUGAAAUUCUUGAUCAUCAACGAGGAAUUCCUAGUAAGCGCAAGUCAGCAGCUUGCGUUGAUUACGUCCCUGCCCUUUGUACACACCGCCCGUCGCUACUACCGAUUGAAUGGUUUAGUGAGAAUUUUGGACUGGAACUCCCUUGCUCAGCAAUGGGCGAGGGGGAGUCCGGGAAGCUAUUCUAACUGUAUCAUUUAGAGGAAGUAAAAGUCGUAACA